Molecule: long non-coding RNA, 750 nt
Organism: Ctenocephalides felis (cat flea)
Lineage: Eukaryota; Metazoa; Arthropoda; Insecta; Siphonaptera; Pulicidae
Exons: 4
Source: RefSeq, a predicted model, not a curated record
CAAAAUUUAGGAUGACGUGACGAUAAGAAAUUGUUCAAAAUUAAAAAAAAAAUGUUGAAAUUUAGGUCAAUCAGUAAAUAAAACUCAUGAAUAGAGUAGAUACGUACAUACAUUAAUAAUGUAUGUAGGAGCAGAUGGAACAAUCCAUCAAGGUGGUCAGCCUUGGGGAUUGAGGAAAAUUAUAGGCCUUUUUUGGGCCUUCAUAGACUUUUUUGUCAAAUUUUUCAAAACCUUGUUUAAUUUUGAUACUAAAACUGAGCCACGAUCAGGAAACAAAUGGAUCUAAGGGAUCUGGACCUUUUGAUGGUCCUGGUGCACGCAAAAGGAUAGGAAGAAUUAACACCCUUCCCACAUGUGAUAUUCCUGGUGGCGGAUGAGCUCGUUAAGGCUCUUCGGGAUGUAAUUAGUCUUGAAGAGCCAAUUGAAUCUGCUGCAUUUUUUCAGUUUAAACUCUAGAAUUUUCAAAAACUAUAAGUUAUAAUCAAUUUGUACAAAUAAUUAUUGAAUUUUGUUCUUAUCUAAUCCUUUAAUUUUACAAGAUAUGCACAGCAGCAGUUUCGGAAACUAGAUAAACAAAUCUUAUGGAUUUUAUCCAUCAUAUGACGCUUUAUCCAUAAACUUUAUUAGAAGUGGGAUUUAGCUGAAGUUUGAUUUGGAAUCUAGUUAUCUUUUGAUCAUACUUAUCUGGAUUUUUCUUAUCAUGUUUAUACAGUUUGUUUUUGUAAAUGCCUAAAUACAUUUUAUCAAUAA